GUAGGGAAUAUUGGGCAAUGGAUGCAAGUCUGACCCAGCCAUCCCGCGUGCCGGAAGAAGGCCCUCAGGGUUGUAAACGGCUUUUGACGGUGAAGAAUCGACAGGAUGCGUCCUGUUUUGACGGUAGCCGUUGAAUAAGCACCGGCUAACUCCGUGCCAGCAGCCGCGGUAAUACGGAGGGUGCGAGCGUUGUCCGGAUUUAUUGGGUUUAAAGGGUGCGUAGGCUGGAAGGUCAGUCAGCGGUGAAAAGCUGUCGCUUAACGAUAGUCUUGCCGCAGAUACUUCCUUUCUUGGAUGAGGAGGAGGCCACUGGAACGGAUGGUGUAGCGGUGAAAUGCAUAGAUAUCAUCCAGAACACCGAUUGCGAAGGUAGGUGGCUGUACCUUAAUCGACGCUGAUGCACGAAAGCAUGGGGAGCAAACAGGAUUAGAUACCCGGGUAGUCC
This 445-nucleotide ribosomal RNA is filed under the name uncultured bacterium. RNAcentral describes it as "partial 16S ribosomal RNA". It matches the Rfam family "Bacterial small subunit ribosomal RNA", at positions 354 to 796 of the family's 1533-position model. The record is from RNAcentral.